AUUGAACGCUGGCGGCAGGCCUAACACAUGCAAGUCGAGCGGAUGAAGGGAGCUUGCUCCUGGAUUCAGCGGCGGACGGGUGAGUAAUGCCUAGGAAUCUGCCUGGUAGUGGGGGAUAACGUCCGGAAACGGGCGCUAAUACCGCAUACGUCCUGAGGGAGAAAGAGGGGGAUCUUCGGACCUCACGCUAUCAGAUGAGCCUAGGUCGGAUUAGCUAGUUGGUGGGGUAAAGGCCUACCAAGGCGACGAUCCGUAACUGGUCUGAGAGGAUGAUCAGUCACACUGGAACUGAGACACGGUCCAGACUCCUACGGGAGGCAGCAGUGGGGAAUAUUGGACGAUGGGCGAAAGCCUGAUCCAGCCAUGCCGCGUGUGUGAAGAAGGUCUUCGGAUUGUAAAGCACUUUAAGUUGGGAGGAAGGGCAGUAAGUUAAUACCUUGCUGUUUUGACGUUACCAACAGAAUAAGCACCGGCUAACUUCGUG
Molecule: ribosomal RNA, 484 nt
Filed under: uncultured bacterium
Lineage: Bacteria
Description: partial 16S ribosomal RNA
Rfam family: Bacterial small subunit ribosomal RNA
Source: RNAcentral